AGGCCAUGGUGAGGGCAUUCUUGGAGUAGAUCCUUGAAUCUCUCCAUAAGUUUGGAAAAUGACUUACUAGGCUUUUGCCUAAACUAGAAGAUCAUGUCUAAGCUU
Macadamia integrifolia is the source of this 105-nucleotide small nucleolar RNA. The record is from RefSeq and is a predicted model, not a curated record. Lineage: Eukaryota; Viridiplantae; Streptophyta; Magnoliopsida; Proteales; Proteaceae.